Molecule: long non-coding RNA, 199 nt
Filed under: Gossypium barbadense (sea-island cotton)
Lineage: Eukaryota; Viridiplantae; Streptophyta; Magnoliopsida; Malvales; Malvaceae
Description: long non-coding RNA (GBAR_LNC014854)
Source: RNAcentral
ACAUGUUUACUUACCUCGGUGCAAAAUAUCGUAAUUUUGCAAUUUACUCCACUACUUUCUCUUUUCCCCGUUUGAGGUAUUCUUCUCGUCUUUCUUGAUCUAUAAUAAAAAAUUUAACUCAUUUAAUGUUCACAUUUAUUAAAAUAAUCCUCCACCCAACUUUUUGAAAAAUUACAAUUUUGCCCCUAAACUUUUGCAU